GUCUGUCUGUUUUUUGAGACAGGAUUUCUUUGUAGUUUUCGCUUUCCGUGAACUCACUCUGUAGACCAGGCUGGCCUCAAACUCAGAGAUCCACCUGCUUCUGCCUCCCAAGUGCUGAGACUGAAGGAGAGCCAGCGCCACGAUGUAGGGCAGACACAGGGGGGUCUUUAGAGAAAGAGCUAAGCCCAAAGUGUUAAGGAAGAUAAUAGAAAGAAGAGAAGGGGAAGUCGCUGUUUUCUGAGUAAUUGAGAGAAUCAGGCAGCGUUACAAAGCAGUAUGCCUACACUGUAAGAGCCUGCACGUGGGGGCAGGAAUUCCGGGGAGAAAAAAAGCAUCUCAUUAAAUGGAUAAUUAAUUUACCCAUUUUUCUCUUUAGGAGGCCUAAAAGCAGAGGUUCUCAGCCUGUGGAUCGCAACUCCCAAAAACCAGCAGAAUACAGAUAUUUACAUUACAAUUCACAGUGGUAGCAAAAUUACAGUUAUGAAGCAGCAACAAAAACUGACUUUAUGGUUGGGGGGGCACAACAUGAGGAACUACAUUAAAGGGUUGCAGCAUUGGGAAGGUUGAGAACCACUGUGUUAAAGUAGUCUACGUUCCUCAGAGUGGGCCUGUCUUCUUCAGGGCUGGUCACUGGGCCAGGAGAUUAAUUGGCCUCAGUAGAUGGUUUUCUGGAUUCAUUUAUUUCUGGACUAAUUUAUUUAUCUUUAUUUUAGAUCUGAACCAAGGCUGGGGAUUUCACCUUUCUUGACCAGAAAAAACUAGUUUUCCUUUAAUGGACCUUUUACAUCAAACUGAUAACCCUGAGUGAAAUGUCCCAAUUGGUACUAACAAAAAAAAGUCUAAGAUACCAAGUCCAUUUCUAAGAACUCCAUAAUCCUCAUUUGACUGCAUCUAUUAAUGAAAGGAUACAGACCAGGCAGAAGGACUCCAUCUACAAAGGUUGCCCUUGAUGCCGGCAGAUGCAAUAUCCAGAUUAUCUCAUCUGCAGGAAGUGAGUAAAAGAGAGAAGAGUGGAAAGGAAGAAGGGAGAGAGGGGCAGAAUAAAAAGAAAGAGAAACAGUGUGCCUUCUCUGAGAUACAAAGGAGGUGCCAACAUCCUUUGCCAACAGCAAGAGCCACAGCAAGCCUAACCUCAUAUUCUAAUAUGAGCACAUAUAUUCUAACAACCAUUCGACUGAUUGUAAUGGCACAGAUUCCGACAAAAAGCUUCUUAUAAGCUAAAUGAAAUUGAGAGAGAUGCUACAAAACAGAAGCCUGGCCAUCAGUCCUUGUGAAGGGAACAGGAUUCUCUGUGUCCUCGGAGAAGAGGGGAAGACCAGUUUGCAAGGAUGGAAUAAUCUUUACUUCCCACAGAGUAGGUAGCACACGAUAUAAAACAAAAUGGUUUAUUUAAAAGGACUAACCUGUAACAACAACACUCAGUUUUGUGAAGGCAACUCUCUGUUAUUUUACUUGGAAAAGAAUGGGGUAAAACAUAAACAUCUUCAAACAAACCAAUACAGUGGUGGUUUAAUGUAAAAUUGUUUCUAAAGACAGCAGUGCUUUCAGUGGAGCCAGUUCAUUGGGGAAAUACAUAUAUAUGUGUGUGUGUGUAUCAUNNNNNNNNNNAUAGAUAGAUAGAUAGAUAGAUAGAUAGAUAGAUAGAUAGAUAGAUAGAUAGAAUGUGCCGCUAUGAG
Molecule: long non-coding RNA, 1676 nt
Filed under: Mus spicilegus (steppe mouse)
Lineage: Eukaryota; Metazoa; Chordata; Mammalia; Rodentia; Muridae
Description: lncRNA (ENSMSIG00000004827.1)
Source: RNAcentral